CCUACGGGAGGCAGCAGUGAGGAAUAUUGGUCAAUGGGCGCGAGCCUGAACCAGCCAAGCCGCGUGAGGGAAGACGGUCCUAUGUAUUGUAAACCUCUUUUGUCGGGGAGCAAAAGAUGCCACGCGUGGCGUUCCGAGAGUACCUGAAGAAAAAGCAUCGGCUAACUCCGUGCCAGCAGCCGCGGUAAUACGGAGGAUGCGAGCGUUAUCCGGAUUUAUUGGGUUUAAAGGGUGCGCAGGCGGACGUGCAAGUCAGCGGUAAAAUUGAGGGGCUCAACCUCUUCGAGCCGUUGAAACUGGUUGUCUUGAGUGAGUGAGAAGUAUGCGGAAUGCGUGGUGUAGCGGUGAAAUGCAUAGAUAUCACGCAGAACUCCGAUUGCGAAGGCAGCAUACCGGCGCUCAACUGACGCUGAGGCACGAAAGUGUGGGUAUCGAACAGGAUUAGAUACCCGAGUAGUC
Molecule: ribosomal RNA, 459 nt
Filed under: uncultured bacterium
Lineage: Bacteria
Description: partial 16S ribosomal RNA
Rfam family: Bacterial small subunit ribosomal RNA
Source: RNAcentral